This is a long non-coding RNA of Carya illinoinensis, 2417 nucleotides long. RefSeq lists it as uncharacterized. The record is from RefSeq and is a predicted model, not a curated record. NCBI's taxonomy places the organism in Eukaryota, Viridiplantae, Streptophyta, Magnoliopsida, Fagales, Juglandaceae. The transcript has 2 exons.
GCUGACGACUCUCUGCCGACAGUACACCUACGACAAAAAUCUCUGUACUCUCACUAACCGACCUUUUAAGACUCCGCGACGGCUCUCUAAAACCCUAAUCUCUCUCUCUCUCUCGCCUGCGUCUCUGCAAGAUUGCAUCCCUCUCUACCUCUCAAUUUUCCGAGAUUUUCUCGGGGAACAAGAUCCCGAUUCCUUCUUCCCCCUCUUCCCUCUUCGUCACCUAAUCCCUCGGUAUCCGUCACAAAGCUUGACGACGAGCCCAUCACUUCUACCACUGUCCCAAACCCUAGAGACACAGUGGGAGAAAAUGAAAUUCUCUCCGGUUCGAGGGGCUUUGGCUUGUUCUUUUGGUUUCCCGAAAUUGAAAACUUUUAUCAGCUAAUGUUUAAUUUGUACUGGCUGGGGUGAUCUAGCAGAUAAAAGUUAUUGGAUUUUGCUGUUUCUUAUAGCCGACAUCUGUGUUUGAUUGUAAAACAUUAUUUACAUUGAGAAUGGUAUGGAUUUUGUCAUUUAAUGACUUCUUAUGAUUUCUGGUAGGCUCUGGUUCUGCACCUUUUCUCUGUGAGUUGCUCCUCAAAAGUUUUAGGGGCUGUUAUUCAAUUACUGUAGGCUCUGGUUCUACUCCUUCACUUUGUGAGUUGCUCUUCACUAGUUUCAGGGGCUGGUAUUCAACUAUUGUGGUUUGGUAUAUGCUAGUAUUUGCUGUUGCGAGAUUUGAGACAGUUCAAGAUGCCCUCUUUGUUCUUGCCAAGAUGAAAGAUCUGAACAUGCAUGGACCAAUACAAACAUAUAAAAGUCUGUUGCACAACUUGAGGGCACUGAAACCAUGUGGGAUAUUCAUGAUGAAAUCAAAUUUGGUGGAACUACUCAGAAUGAGUUACUGCUUUCUCUUGAGAAUUGAAAGUCAAUUUGGAAAAAGUUGCCUAUACUAUAGUUAAAGCACAUAUGCAAAAGGUGGUGUGAGCGGGGAAGUAAUAUUCUUUCGUCAAAUGAUGGAGAAGGGGUUUAAAACCUCAAAUCAGAGAUUACAGUGAUGUGAUAAUAAGAUUGUUAAUAAAUGAAGCAAAAUAUUUUGCCGUAUGAAGUCAUCCGAUGGCGACUUCAUACAGAAAUUUGUAAGGUGAUGCUUAAUGCUUUCCAUCAAUCAGGAAGGUGACCUAGAUUCUGUUUUUGAAUUACUUGGUAGGAUGAUCAAAUAUAAAAUUAACCCGUGGGAAACGAUGAUUUUCAUGCAUCUCAACGUCAAAAGGAGCUUUCUUGGCUGAUGGGGAAGUCAGUAUCUAAUGAAUACUUCGAUGGUUUAACUUGUGGAUACGGCUGUCAUUACUACAAUGACCAAAGGCAGAACGGUAGAGAGGUAUUUUACAUUAACUUCAUUACAUACCAGAUUUGUAGGGCUAUCUACUGUUGCAAUCAGUAUCAUACAUGUUUAGAAGGCAAUUGCAUUUUUUUUUAUUAGCACCGUGUGUCUGAGAACAAAAUCUCGACUAAUCUUAGGGGUCCACAGGCCUUCGAUGAUGAAUUUUUCGCAAGUGCAUCUCGGAUAAUUUAAUGGGAAGUUCUCCUACUCCGAUGGCCUCAAGAAACUCUCAGCACUCAAUAGGAUUCAAACCUUAGACCUAGAGGUAGUAUACAAUCAGACCAAGGCUUUUAGCAAUUUGCAAAUGGAAAAACUUGCAACAGUGCAUGUUAACAGAAUUUAUUGAUCACUUAUUUCAUCUCUGAUUCUUACAAGAGUGAGCCUUGUAUACACUUUUUUUUCUUCUUUCUUUCUUUCUUUUUUGUUUUUUUUUGUUUUUAAAUUUUUUAUUACGACAAAUGAUUCUACAUGCAGCUGUAAUUGUUGGGCACUGGCCUCUGUCCAUUCUCACUGGGAUCUCUUUUCUCUGAGAGUUUGAAAGGAAGAACAUCGCAGCCGGAAUAUAUCACCUGCCUCAUGGCAUUCCUUCUGAAGCCAGACUUGAUACAGUUAGACAUGUAUGUUUUCCUCUGUAGCUCAUAAGUUGCUUAUUAAUCAAUUUCUUCUUUUUAGGAAGCAUCUAUUGGAGUUUCUAGUUUCUGUCCCCAAGGUUCCAUUGCUGUGUCCUCAAUGACUUUCUUUCUUUGGAUCUAUGGAUUUUAGGCUGAAGCCUUUGUUGGUUUCUUUUCAGUUAUUUAUUUUACGUUUGCAGGUCUGGCACACCUUUCGAUGGACUAACUUAGAACUAGGAAUGUUGAAGCUUCGAUGUUCAAUAUAUGUGAGUUAUAGAUGCACAAUGUAUUCAAUUCUUUUUUUUUUCAAGACAAACGAAAGAUUUCAUCGUUUUGCCAGAAAAAGUUUGGAACAAAUUUCUCUCUUCAGGUAAAUGACAAGCAGCCAGCAUGUCAUGAUGCCUUUCUUAGCUGGGUUUCCGAUGCCUUAUCUGAGAGGGUGUUUC